AAUGAACGCUGGCGGCGUGGUUAAGACAUGCAAGUCGAACGGUUUUUCAGUGUAGCAAUACAUUGAAAAGACAGUGGCGAACGGGUGCGUAACACGUGAACAAUCUACCUUCAAAUGGGGAAUAGCUCGGCGAAAGCCGGAUUAAUACCGCAUGUGGUCGGGACUCUCCUGAGUCCCAAACUAAAGUCAGGGACCGCAAGGCCUGACGUUUGAAGAGGAGUUCGCGGCCUAUCAGCAGUUGGCGAGGUAACGGCUCACCAAGGCUAAGACGGGUA
RNAcentral lists this ribosomal RNA (275 nucleotides) under uncultured bacterium. Its description in RNAcentral is "partial 16S ribosomal RNA". It matches the Rfam family "Bacterial small subunit ribosomal RNA", at positions 29 to 285 of the family's 1533-position model. The record is from RNAcentral.